CGUCGCUCGUUAAUUUUGCGUGAAAACUGGUCAUUCAUCCCGAACUGCCCUUCACCUCCCGUCCUUUUCACUUUACAAAAACUUUCUGCUGGAAAUGCUCGAAUUUGGCAAUGAUUGGACUGACUCCCUGCUCGUGGUCCUCCUAGCCUGUGUACUCAGUGGAAGUUGAUGUUAGUGAGUGUCUCCUUCAGGAUUUUCAGCGCUGUCGACAUGAAGUUUUUUACUUCCUAGCCUCUGGAUUAUCAGGGGUACUCUCAGAAAUGCCGGAAAAGAUGAGGUUAUCCCACAUGCUUCAUGACUGGCACCAACAAACUCUGGGGUUUAUUGUCAGCCUCCAGGCUCAACUGAUGCUGGGUUUCCACAGCAACAGAUGCAGAAACCAACAAAUCAAUACUUCAUCUCUAACAAACUCCUAAGUGAUGCAGAGCAGCUUUCAAACCUCCGGACUUCACUGUCUGAAACCAAAAGCACAUUUUUCGGGGUUGGCCUCAUCUCAUGCAAGGCAGCGCUCAUCCCACCUCAUAAACUGAUGGCCCAACGGCAAGCACAGAUUUCUUUCCCAUGAUGACUGGGGGCGGAGCCUGAACUUUGCAACUACAGUGGCUUUGUGGACAGACAGCCUGACAUCAUCUCGCAGGGAAGUGUAUGCAUAAUAGCGGGCUGGAUGUCACCGGCGAGUGUGCAUUGCGGCAGGCUCCUAGCUUUUAUUUGCAAAAAAAACAAAAGACUUCAGAGUGUGUAAAAAAAGGCAAAGUCAGAUGAAGACAACAAUAGCAUUUUGACUUGUAGAGGCAGCUUUCUAACACUAAAUUGUGAGUAUGCGGCGCAAAGACACACCAUCAAACACUAACACCCACCUCCGUCACCGUGGCAGUCAAGUCAGUGCUGCUUACGAGAAGCUAAUGCUGAUGGUGAACACUAA
This is a long non-coding RNA of Phyllopteryx taeniolatus (common seadragon), 922 nucleotides long. RefSeq lists it as uncharacterized. Lineage: Eukaryota; Metazoa; Chordata; Actinopteri; Syngnathiformes; Syngnathidae. The record is from RefSeq and is a predicted model, not a curated record. The transcript is spliced from 5 exons.